RNAcentral lists this ribosomal RNA (253 nucleotides) under uncultured bacterium. RNAcentral's name for it is "partial 16S ribosomal RNA". It matches the Rfam family "Bacterial small subunit ribosomal RNA", at positions 524 to 776 of the family's 1533-position model. The record is from RNAcentral.
UACGGGGGGAGCAAGCGUUGUUCGGAUUUACUGGCGUAAAGGGCGCGUAGGCGGUCAGCACAAGUCAGUUGUGAAAUCUCCGGGCUUAACUCGGAAAGGUCAACUGAUACUGUGCGACUAGAGUGCGGAAGGGGCAACUGGAAUUCUCGGUGUAGCGGUGAAAUGCGUAGAUAUCGAGAGGAACACCUGCGGCGAAGGCGGGUUGCUGGGCCGACACUGACGCUGAUGCGCGAAAGCCAGGGGAGCGAACGGG